Molecule: ribosomal RNA, 255 nt
Filed under: uncultured bacterium
Lineage: Bacteria
Description: partial 16S ribosomal RNA
Rfam family: Bacterial small subunit ribosomal RNA
Source: RNAcentral
CAGACGGGUGAGUAACGCGUGGGUAACCUGCCUUACACAGGGGGAUAACACUUAGAAAUAGGUGCUAAAACCGCAUAAGCGCACAGCUUCGCAUGAAGCGGUGUGAAAAACUCCGGUGGUGUAAGAUGGACCCGCGUCUGAUUAGCUUGUUGGCGGGGUAACGGCCCACCAAGGCGACGAUCAGUAGCCGGCCUGAGAGGGCGGACGGCCACAUUGGGACUGAGACACGGCCCAGACUCCUACGGAAGGCAGCAG